Molecule: long non-coding RNA, 619 nt
Filed under: Citrus x clementina
Lineage: Eukaryota; Viridiplantae; Streptophyta; Magnoliopsida; Sapindales; Rutaceae
Description: Citrus clementina (C. clementina) long non-coding RNA (CCLE_LNC002284)
Source: RNAcentral
AUUUAAGGCUAAUUUUUUUUUUAACUAUCAUAUUCAAAGUAUAUUACAGUAAAAAAACGAUUUUAUGUCCCUCAUUGAAAACUUGAGAGUUUGCUUGAUUAUUUUCUCAAAUCUUAAAGGUGUAGUUAUCUUUUUUUCCAAAAUUUUAUUAUCAAAUAAUCAAAUUUCUAAAAGUUGUCGCAUUUUUUUUAUAGAAGCUAUAAUUAGGUUAGCUGCUUUUAAGAAUCUACAAAUCUAAUUACUUGAAAAUCAAAUUAUUUAAUAAUCACUUUUGAAUUGAAUUUAACAACACUCUUUGGAUGCUCGUUGUCGAAGCACAUCUUUACCUGGCCUGGACGCCUGGUGCUCACCCUACACAGUCGAAAGGCAAUGCCUGUUUGGAAAGUUAGACUACUAGCCCAUUUGGGAGUGUGCUGAGGUAGUUGAGCUGCCAAAACCCAGCUACUAAAGUGUUUGGUAACACUUUAGUAGUUGAGCUUUGGUAGCUUAGUAAAAAAAUUUUCUUAACUUCUACUCCACAGCUGUAGCUUUUAAUCCACAGCAGCUGCAGUUUAAAAGUUACCACCUCACUUCGAAGGAAAUUAAUUGAUGGAUAAUAUUUGAUUAAUUUCAUCCAUUU